GCUUGCUACCUGACCUAGCGGCGGACGGGUGAGUAAUGCUUAGGAAUCUGCCUAUUAGUGGGGGACAACAUUCCGAAAGGAAUGCUAAUACCGCAUACGCCCUACGGGGGAAAGCAGGGGAUCUUCGGACCUUGCGCUAAUAGAUGAGCCUAAGUCAGAUUAGCUAGUUGGUGGGGUAAAGGCCUACCAAGGCGACGAUCUGUAGCGGGUCUGAGAGGAUGAUCCGCCACACUGGGACUGAGACACGGCCCAGACUCCUACGGGAGGCAGCAGUGGGGAAUAUUGGACAAUGGGCGAAAGCCUGAUCCAGCCAUGCCGCGUGUGUGAAGAAGGCCUUUUGGUUGUAAAGCACUUUAAGCGAGGAGGAGGCUACUGAGAUUAAUACUCUUGGAUAGUGGACGUUACUCGCAGAAUAAGCACCGGCUAACUCUGUGCCAGCAGCCGCGGUAAUACAGAGGGUGCGAGCGUUAAUCGGAUUUACUGGGCGUAAAGCGUGCGUAGGCGGCUUUUUAAGUCGGAUGUGAAAUCCCUGAGCUUAACUUAGGAAUUGCAUUCGAUACUGGGAAGCUAGAGUAUGGGAGAGGAUGGUAGAAUUCCAGGUGUAGCGGUGAAAUGCGUAGAGAUCUGGAGGAAUACCGAUGGCGAAGGCAGCCAUCUGGCCUAAUACUGACGCUGAGGUACGAAAGCAUGGGGAGCAAACAGGAUUAGAUACCCUGGUAGUCCAUGCCGUAAACGAUGUCUACUAGCCGUUGGGGCCUUUGAGGCUUUAGUGGCGCAGCUAACGCGAUAAGUAGACCGCCUGGGGAGUACGGUCGCAAGACUAAAACUCAAAUGAAUUGACGGGGGCCCGCACAAGCGGUGGAGCAUGUGGUUUAAUUCGAUGCAACGCGAAGAACCUUACCUGGUCUUGACAUAGUAAGAACUUUCCAGAGAUGGAUUGGUGCCUUCGGGAACUUACAUACAGGUGCUGCAUGGCUGUCGUCAGCUCGUGUCGUGAGAUGUUGGGUUAAGUCCCGCAACGAGCGCAACCCUUUUCCUUAUUUGCCAGCGGGUUAAGCCGGGAACUUUAAGGAUACUGCCAGUGACAAACUGGAGGAAGGCGGGGACGACGUCAAGUCAUCAUGGCCCUUACGACCAGGGCUACACACGUGCUACAAUGGUCGGUACAAAGGGUUGCUACCUAGCGAUAGGAUGCUAAUCUCAAAAAGCCGAUCGUAGUCCGGAUUGGAGUCUGCAACUCG
Molecule: ribosomal RNA, 1241 nt
Filed under: uncultured Acinetobacter sp.
Lineage: Bacteria; Pseudomonadati; Pseudomonadota; Gammaproteobacteria; Moraxellales; Moraxellaceae
Description: bacterial SSU rRNA
Rfam family: Bacterial small subunit ribosomal RNA
Source: RNAcentral